Molecule: small RNA, 27 nt
Filed under: Bombyx mori (domestic silkworm)
Lineage: Eukaryota; Metazoa; Arthropoda; Insecta; Lepidoptera; Bombycidae
Description: ovarian small RNA-11793
Source: RNAcentral
AGAAUAUGGAAUGCUCAUCAACACUGC